This 231-nucleotide long non-coding RNA is filed under the name Musa acuminata (dwarf banana). RNAcentral describes it as "long non-coding RNA (MACU_LNC000590)". Lineage: Eukaryota; Viridiplantae; Streptophyta; Magnoliopsida; Zingiberales; Musaceae. The record is from RNAcentral.
AAUCAAGCUUUGGUUGAUUUCGCAUAUUCUGGUUUCAUUCCUUUGGAAGUUGAUAUCCUUUAGCUUUCUUAUUCAAUUGAGCUUUAUAUUACUACUUUGAAUUCUUGUAUGCUCUUAUCCUUAAAAUUAUUUGCAUUCUUGAAAACUAUUGUGUAACGUUUAUGCUAUAUCGUAUUGACUCAUAUAGGAACAUGUAUAUCCCAUUGUUCCGCAUUUGCUUUCGAUAUGUGC